GGGACGGGGCUAGCAGUCGUACCUGCCGGAAGAGGCGGAGCUAGAAACGCCGCGCCGACCCACGGGGGGCGCCUGCGCACAGCGGGCAGUGCGCUCGUUUGCUGGCUCGCGGAGCUGCCGGUGGUGCAGGUGCUAGCUGCGUGGUGGGUGGCGGCUCAGGGCCCGUGAGCAGUGAAGAUGCUGUAGGAGCGUUGCCUCGGCAAGCAGGCGUCCUCCCACCUGCUGUCGCCGUGGGACUCUAGGCAGUUACUUGGUGACGCCACCCCCGGCAGGCGGUGGCGUGUAGAGGCGAGCCCCGCACCCGGCUGCGCGGGUUCCCUGAACGCUCACAGCGCGAGAGGUGAGCACGUCUUCAUCUUGUGGGGCAAGACGACGUGCAGCCCAGGCAGAGAACGAAGGUGUAGCCCAGGGUGAAGCCCUCGGACUUGGCUCUGGGGCCCUACGCUCUGUGCUACAGAGAAGGGCCAGGAAGACUAGCCCUAAAGAAACACAGCUACCUUCUCAGAUUUGCUGGGACUCACUGGCCACGAGAUCAGACCUGAGCUGUUUCAGGGAGCACGAAAAGCUGCGGCUGCGGGGCUAGAACAGGCGUUCCCCAGUCCUACCUACCCUUGUCUCCACGUCAGUCCACUCAGACUCCGUCCCGUCGGGCUGGGUUGGCGCUGCUGUGGAAGAUCUGCGUUUCCGACUAUGGAAAAGGGAAACGUGGUGCAACAGUUAUUUUUGCAUCUGAGAACAGGAGAAUUAGAAAUAGGAAAACACCAUAUAUACGUCGAGAGAAUUAAGGAUACACUCUGUAGGACAGCCUGUCCCUCAAGCAUGGGCAGUAAGACAAUGACAGCUCUCGAAAGGCAGGCAGCUGAUGGCUACUUACCCAGUUGGUGAUUCUUGUUUUACAGUCUCAAUAUCAGUAAACUGGACGGAUUGUCCACCACCCCUUGUUUUAAAAACAUCACCCUACAGCCAAGAGAAAAGGUCACCAUUACACUUUGAUACAUCCAGCUGAUACACAAGUAUGUGUCAAAUUGCAUUUAAGACUCCUGUCUUACGGAACUCCCACCCACCAAACCAGGCGGCGCCUGGACGGCUGGGUCUGCACCACCCAAGUGCAUUGAGAUUUGCAUUCCCGUCCUUCACUGAACGCAAGUCCAGUGCCGUGUAAUCAGCAGCAGUCUUAACUGCAGAAAAUAACAUUCCUUUUUGUUCAGCCCAUUUGAAAACUUAACUAAAGAUCAAGAAAUCUGCCAGAAAUUUCGAGAUGUUCUAAGGCAGUAAAUACACUCUCUCCUCAGACUCAAAUGACGGCACAGCCUUAUUUGUGAUUAUAGCUUCUCAUGAGAACCAUCCCCCAAGAUCAAUUUGAAAUGAAUAACUACCCCCCCGCAAGUCUUGUUUCUUACUCUCCUUGAGCGUUAACUGACUCUGACCGGAAGAAGAUGCAGUUCUGCGGGCAGGGAGAGGGGCUUGGGUAGCUCGGCCCUGAAGCACUUUGGCAGGCCAGACUUCAACGUGGGCUUCCUACCCUAACCGACACAAAGCAGAGCGGUUCUUCCGUCUACUGUUUAAGUUGGGGUUAAAACCAACUACUUGUUAAUUAAAAGUGCAAAACAGAUACAAAGUUCCUCUAACAAACCUGAGGCUCUAAGUCUCAUUCAGUAAAGUAACAGAUUCAGCCCCAAUUUUGUGGAUUCAAAACCCAAGUAGUUAGUUUUCUAAGAAACAAAAAGGUUUUAUCAAAUACCCAUUUAUGGUCCAUUUGACGCUGCCUGCGGGUCAUCAGAGUAAAUGGAUUUUUGUUAAGCUGACUUUUUGCGUAUUUUUUCCCUUGUGUGACGUUUUUACCUUAAUUAACUUAGUUUCAAUCUCCCCAUCGGAGGCUAGUUCCUGGUGGGUCAGCAUGUACUUCUCACACUUAGCUAGGGCCUUUUCACUUGGAACAGACACAGUGAUGGCAUGAGGGACAUGUGGCUGCAUGACUGUCUCAGUCUGCACGUUAGAGGCGGGCUUAUGAUCUACCCAUCUGUCUCCUGCGGAGCGCGACCGUCUGUGUCUCAGACGAAUUGGUGGUGCGUUCUGAUCAGGUCGGAAGAGGAAUCAAGAAACAAGCACAACCCAGAAUUAAUUUCAGGGUACCAUUAGAAGUGCAGCAGGUUUGGCUACAAUAUCAAGACAAAUGCAUGAACCUUUCAAAAGCUAAAUGUUACUCAAGCAAUUUAAAUAAUCUCUUUGUAUUAAACACAAAAGCAACAAACAUCUUUUAAUACCAGCUGUGUAAUUAUUAUUAUAUAUUCUACCAGGGAGCUUCCCUUCAAACAAAGAGUGGAAGGAAGGUUCUGCUGGUCUUUGCUGCGUAGGUGGUUUUCAUGGCGAAUAACUGAUUCUGCAUUCUCCAUCAAAAGCCAGUGUUUGUGCCUGCUAUUGUGAGGUUACCUAUUUUGCCCACAACUAUGUACAAAGCUUCGAAAAGAUCAAUAAAAGCCCUAAACACACCAUAGGCCUCUAAACAAAAGAGAAAAUAUCCCUUUUACAAAGCAGGACCCCCCCCCAAAAAACGCCGAUGGAGCUGCAGAGCACAAAAUGCCAAAGAACACGAGGUGCAGUGAGAGUCCCACGAAUAAACUGCUAGAAGAACGUAAAUGACGAAAUAACGUUCUUCUGAGCACUUUAAACACCUCGGAACAGAACUUCCUGAAGAGUUCAAACACAGUGAUGGCCAAAACUUACCAACUUUCCCCCCAAAUAUUUAAGGUUCCAAGAACCAGAUAAAGAAUAGUGUCAAAUCAGUCUAUCGUACAAAAAAAAGCUAGAUCCUUCCAGUAAAAUGCAUGUAAAUUUAGGAAAGUUAAAUUUAGCACAUUCAGCCUAAGAAAAAAAUAAUUCACAUAUAGAACAUAGUUAACAGUUUGAAGCAAUGAGUUUAUCUGUGUAACUUUGCAAACGUCUUCUGUUUGCAAAACUGAAAGCAAAUGAGACCAUCUGCCACAGGCCAGAUCCUGCAUAGCUGGUCAGGUGAACAUCUGACUUCAAAGUGCAUCUCUGGAGAACGGAAGAGUUUUCCCUGCACAGUUUCAAGAAACAAAUGAAGCACUGGCGACAGAGCAUGGUACUAAACCACAGGCGAUAGUUUGCGCUAAGGAUGCCCGAGCCUCAGGACAAGCCGGAAGCUUCCCAUUCUCAAAAUGGCUCAACUGAACAAGAAAGAAAGGGGCUCUCCUGACCUUCCAUGUAGUAAAUUGACUAGGCACCUGCACUUGAACAAGCUGAAGUACAUCCAACACAAAAACCUUCACUGCGCACACCUGCACCUCCAGCUGCUCCUCCGUCGAGGUUUCCCUGAGUCGUGUUAUCCUCUCGCCGACUCUCCACACCCAGGUGGACCUACUUCCUAACUAGCUCUCACUCCGGGCCGACCUCUGCCUCCAGGCGACACGGUCGUGCGUCGGAGUCACUACAGAAGGCUCCCACUCCUUUCGCACUCUAGACUUAGACUUGCCUCUGGGAAAAUGAUCUUUCUAAAAGACCAGUCACCCUCGCUGACUUUAAGAGGCUGUGUAACAGCAGAAAGACAAAAUUUUGAGAGUCCCACCAGCCUGGGUUUGAAGCAGGCUCUAACCGUGGGAAACCUACUUGGGCCUCUCCCGACCCAUCUCAUCUGAGAAGCGGGUCUGACACAGUCCUGAGAAGCUGACGCAAGAAACCAAGCCCACGGCACGGCACACACCGGUCCUUUAGUACCUGGCAGCUGCCACUGCUCCUUCAGGAAAAGCUGUGGGCUCAACAAGCGUCUUCGUGGCUGCGCCCUGCGCUCCUGCCUCCCGGCUCAGCAGCCCACACCCUCCACUUCGGCUGCAUGGACGCCACCUUGUCCUCUCAGGGACGAUGCCCUUCAUCCUGCCCUUAUUCAGACUCACGCCUCAACUGAAGCAUCAGCUCCCUGAGCUCUUCCCCGGAGCCCCCCUCGCGCACGGCCCCGGGCUGGACGGGGCGGUCACCCCCCCCAACACACUCCGCGCAGGCGCCCCGGCUCCCCUCACACGCACUGGCCGGGACGCCAGGGCGGGGCUCUGUCCUCGUGUCCGUGCUCAGCCCGUCACACAGCAGCACUCCACAAACGUUACUAACACACAACAGGCCAUGAAUGGCUGUACUAGGUGAAAAGUUGAGCAAAGCAAAGACCAUGCAGAGCUCCUUUUGAGUGGCUUUGUGUUCACUUUUCUUGUCUUCAGAAGCUGGGUUUCACCACUAUGAAUGUUGGAAUAAAUGUGAAGUCACUUAAUUUAAGGGACCCAGUACUGGCUUACUAGCCAUAGAUAUAAAAAACUGCCAAGAUAACUUACAUUUUAGUCACUUUUCCGCAUUCUUAAAGACAUCAGUGUGUUGUAAUGUAUCAAUACGGAAACAGCGUAACUAAAAACAAAGCACUGACCUCUCAGCCUCCAAACUGUCAAACUGACGAACAGUCACGCAUGAGCCACCCAUCGGUGCGCAGACGCACCGGCCCCGCAGGGCCCUGAAAGCCGCAGCCGGACGGAGCCGCGCGCACUCAC
This is a non-coding RNA of Vicugna pacos (alpaca), 4547 nucleotides long. The record is from RefSeq and is a predicted model, not a curated record. Lineage: Eukaryota; Metazoa; Chordata; Mammalia; Artiodactyla; Camelidae.